GUGAAUCAUCGAAUCUUUGAACGCAAAUUGCGCUUUCUGGCAUUCCGGGAAGUAUGCCUGUUUGAGGGUCAGUAUUAUUAUAAAAUCGGUUUUGUUACAAAUUGUGUCGUUUCCGGAGUUUGUGCUAUCUUAACAUUUUUGGUUAAGAGGCUUAAAAUUGACGUUUUUUGAGCAUUUGUAAACGUACAUA
Molecule: unclassified non-coding RNA, 190 nt
Filed under: Glomeraceae sp.
Lineage: Eukaryota; Fungi; Glomeromycota; Glomeromycetes; Glomerales; Glomeraceae
Description: partial contains 5.8S ribosomal RNA and internal transcribed spacer 2
Rfam family: 5.8S ribosomal RNA (bases 1-71)
Source: RNAcentral